This 846-nucleotide ribosomal RNA is filed under the name Cylindrohyalospora fici. Its description in RNAcentral is "partial large subunit ribosomal RNA". It matches the Rfam family "Eukaryotic large subunit ribosomal RNA", at positions 48 to 928 of the family's 3401-position model. Lineage: Eukaryota; Fungi; Ascomycota; Dothideomycetes; Asterinales. The record is from RNAcentral.
AAGCGGAGGAAAAGAAACCAACAGGGAUUGCCUCAGUAACGGCGAGUGAAGCGGCAACAGCUCAAAUUUGAAAUCUGGCGCAAGCCCGAAUUGUAAUUUGCAGAGGAUGCCUUGGAGUUGUCCCGGUCUAAGUUCCUUGGAACAGGACGUCACAGAGGGUGAGAAUCCCGUACGUGGCCGGAUGACCUCUCCGUGUAAGGCUCCUUCGACGAGUCGAGUUGUUUGGGAAUGCAGCUCUAAAUGGGAGGUAUAUUUCUUCUAAAGCUAAAUACCGGCCAGAGACCGAUAGCGCACAAGUAGAGUGAUCGAAAGAUGAAAAGCACUUUGGAAAGAGAGUUAAAAAGUACGUGAAAUUGUUGAAAGGGAAGCGUUUGCGGCCAGACUUGAUGGCGGUUGCUCAGCCGGUCUUUUGCCCGGUGCACUCUUCCGCCAUCAGGCCAGCAUCAGUUCGGACAGGUGGAUAAAGGCGGCUGGAAUGUAGCUCCUCGGAGUAUUAUAGCCUACCGCACAAUACACCUCGGCCGGACUGAGGACAGCGUUCGCUAGGAUGCUGGCGUAAUGGCAGCCAACGGCCCGUCUUGAAACACGGACCAAGGAGUCUAGCACAUUUGCGAGUGUUUGGGUGUCAAACCCGUGCGCGCAAUGAAAGUGAACGGAGGUGGGAGCUUCGGCGCACCAUCGACCGAUCCUGAAGUUUACGGAAGGAUUUGAGUAAGAGCAUAUGUGCUGGGACCCGAAAGAUGAUGAACUAUGCCUAAAUAGACUGAAGCCGCCCGAAAGGGCGGUGGAAGGUCGCAGCGGUUCUGACGUGCAAAUCGAUCGUCAAAUUUGGGUAUAGGGGCGAAA